Molecule: ribosomal RNA, 520 nt
Filed under: uncultured bacterium
Lineage: Bacteria
Description: bacterial SSU rRNA
Rfam family: Bacterial small subunit ribosomal RNA
Source: RNAcentral
GGGAAUCUACCUAGUUCUACGGAACAACAGUUGGAAACGACUGCUAAUACCGUAUACGCCCUACGGGGGAAAGAUUUAUCGGAAUUAGAUGAGCCCGCGUAAGAUUAGCUAGUUGGUGGGGUAAUGGCCUACCAAGGCGACGAUCUUUAGCUGGUCUGAGAGGAUGAUCAGCCACACUGGGACUGAGACACGGCCCAGACUCCUACGGGAGGCAGCAGUGGGGAAUAUUGGACAAUGGGCGCAAGCCUGAUCCAGCCAUGCCGCGUGAGUGAUGAAGGCCUUAGGGUUGUAAAGCUCUUUCACCGAUGAAGAUAAUGACGGUAGUCGGAGAAGAAGCCCCGGCUAACUUCGUGCCAGCAGCCGCGGUAAUACGAAGGGGGCUAGCGUUGUUCGGAUUUACUGGGCGUAAAGCGCACGUAGGCGGUUUGUUAAGUCAGGGGUGAAAUCCCAGAGCUCAACUCUGGAACUGCCUUUGAUACUGGAAGUCUUGAGUAUGGUAGAGGUGAGUGGAAUUCCGAGU